UCACUCACAAUUCACAAAAAACUAGGUCUUCCAAGUUUUUUUUUUAAAGAUUAAGGUCUACAAGUUUUCAACACAAAAGAAACCUGCUUUGCCUGCAUAGGAGGGAAAACCUAAACUAAUAAUAAUUUCAAAUCUGGGCAUGGAAGGUGUGCAGCUUGCAGGGAGAAUUCUAGUGAGAACGAAGCAUCUUAACUUUAGGUGCCCCCUUCUUCAUUUGCCGUGCUCUAUCCUUCUCCUCUCUCUUGCGCAUAGCUUCUGCACUGAGCUUAACAGAGGCCUCAUCGGCAAGGCGUUUCUUUUC
Molecule: long non-coding RNA, 301 nt
Filed under: Zostera marina
Lineage: Eukaryota; Viridiplantae; Streptophyta; Magnoliopsida; Alismatales; Zosteraceae
Description: long non-coding RNA (ZMAR_LNC005591)
Source: RNAcentral